GCCGGGCGUGGUGGCACACACCUGUAAUCCCAGCAGCUCUGGAGGCUGAGGCCGGAGAAUCGCAAGUUCAAAUUCAGCCUCAGUAACUUAGUGAGGUGCUAAGCAACUCAGUGAGACCCUGGCUCUA
This 127-nucleotide small RNA is filed under the name Marmota monax (woodchuck). Lineage: Eukaryota; Metazoa; Chordata; Mammalia; Rodentia; Sciuridae. The record is from RNAcentral.